GUUGCAAGCUGGGGCCUCUGUGAUGACAC
RNAcentral lists this non-coding RNA (29 nucleotides) under Cricetulus griseus (Chinese hamster). The record is from RNAcentral. Lineage: Eukaryota; Metazoa; Chordata; Mammalia; Rodentia; Cricetidae.